Molecule: transfer RNA, 67 nt
Filed under: Marmota monax (woodchuck)
Lineage: Eukaryota; Metazoa; Chordata; Mammalia; Rodentia; Sciuridae
Description: tRNA.Ala
Rfam family: tRNA
About the family: Transfer RNA (tRNA) molecules are approximately 80 nucleotides in length. Their secondary structure includes four short double-helical elements and three loops (D, anti-codon, and T loops). Further hydrogen bonds mediate the characteristic L-shaped molecular structure. tRNAs have two regions of fundamental functional importance: the anti-codon, which is responsible for specific mRNA codon recognition, and the 3' end, to which the tRNAs corresponding amino acid is attached (by aminoacyl-tRNA synthetases). tRNAs cope with the degeneracy of the genetic code in two manners: having more than one tRNA (with a specific anti-codon) for a particular amino acid; and 'wobble' base-pairing, i.e. permitting non-standard base-pairing at the 3rd anti-codon position.
Source: RNAcentral
GGUUGUGGCUCAGCGGUAGAGCACUCAUCUCGCACAUGCGAGACCCUGGGUUCAAUCCUCAGCACCA